Long non-coding RNA from Numida meleagris (helmeted guineafowl), 3446 nucleotides. RefSeq lists it as uncharacterized. Lineage: Eukaryota; Metazoa; Chordata; Aves; Galliformes; Numididae. The transcript has 3 exons. The record is from RefSeq and is a predicted model, not a curated record.
GUUCUGAUUUAAAGAGUACUUUGGUAUGUUUUAAAGCUGAACUACUGUCUUUUCAACUUAUCUUUACUGUUUAAAAAUAUUUUAAACCAUUGACUCAAGGCAAACUAAUAAACACUUAGUAGCGCUGCUUCAACACAGCUUGAGUGCACUAUCUCUUUAUGGCAGGAAGCAACUCCAGAGGGACACCCCUUUCUUAUCUUGGCUGUAUCAAAUGAGAUAGCUCCAGCACUCUCAACAGCGGAAAAUUUCCUGUCAGGAACACACUUCUGGCUGUGUGUUCCUCAUGCCUAAAUUAAAAACAAAUUAUCUGUUUCAUUAGGUUGUCAUGUUGCAUGUAAUACUCCUAAAAUCUAAAAAGCUGCCAAAGAUAACAUUAUGUGGAUUGAGCAUGAAUUGUUUGUUUGGAAUGCUGAUAACUAUUAGCAGGACAAAGACACUGGAAAACAAAAAUUUGUUACUUCAGAGGUGUUUUCUAUUUUCCAUAACACAGAUCUUGCUUCAUUAUCUGAAGACAGUUAACGUGCUUGACAGCUGCUGAGGCUCUUACUGGCUCUACCUCUGAGGCAUAUUUCUUUCCAUCCACUGUGUGCUCUGGGCCUUGCUCAUCAGUUUGGGCCCAAUAGAAAUGAAACUGCCACAGUCUGUAGGUUCCAGCAAGAGAUCCACCAGCCAGCACUGCGAAUGCAUGGAAUAAGUGCAGCACACUACGGGUGACUGACAGGACAACUGGAUUGCUUCUUGAAACCCAACACAACUGGCUUAUGAUUCCUCCCCUGACACCUUUUUAUAAUCCCUAAGCGCACCAUAGUUUUAACUACGACCCUAUCACUGCUGUUAAAUUAUUUAUUUAUUUGUGUACCUCAAUUAAAGUGUAAGCUCCUGGUUCUUACAAUUUUAACUUAAAAACUGUUGAAAACAAUAUCAUUUUUUGCUGUAUGAAUAUUGAUUAAGCAAUAUUAUUAUGAAGGAGCUCUUUGUAAAAACUCACGAAUCAGAAUGCAAAGGAGAAGAAGCAAGUAUCUCUUUGAAUAGACCCUUGCCACUUGUUUUCAUUUCUGACAUUCCAGUGUGGCUGUACAAUUAGCUUUUCUCCAAAUAACUAAAUCUUAGGAGGUAAAGUGAUGCAGCUUAGGAAAAGUGGCUGAUAUCACGGUAUUGGAUAUUGUUGCACAGCACUUUGCAGUCCCCCUUCCACCUAACAAGAAAACAUUUCAAGGUUUUUCAUAACAUCAUGAUAGAAAGAUUUCUGAACUCAAAGAGCACUAAACUUCUUUCCAAAGGAAAAGGUUUUUACAAAUUGCAAUAGGGAUUGAAGUAUGAUAUCUAUAAAUGUAAACUAAAAUAAUAUGAUUUAAAGCAUAUCAUCAUUACUUUUGUGGCUUUUGUGCAAUCCUCCAGAUUACUUGUGGUCCAGGCACUGUGCAAUUACACUAACGCAUUAGAACUCUGGGAAUAAAAUGCUGAAGCAGCAACCACAAAAAAUGUCACAGAAGCACACGGUGUAAGGAGGCUGAGGUAACAAGCAUGGGUGGUAUCAGGCUUCUUAAACACAAGCCUGUAUUCCAUCAAGCACUGAUUAUUGGCUCCACAUUUUAGGCUAUCUACACUCCGCAGGGAACUGUUAGCACCUUUCCAGGAAAGUGGGCUUAAAGAAAUGUGAUAUCCUUGGCAAAACCUUUCCAGUAUAAAUAGAAGUGAAUCCCUGGCUUUCCAAAUCAAUGUGGGCAAAUUUUAAUGUCUAAAGCUCUAAAUCUGCAAACGACUAUAGAUGUGUUUAACUUAUUCAAAGCAAGAUGCCUAUUGACCUUAUAUAUGAGUGUGAAAGUAAACAUGAACAUAGUAUAAGAAUUAACUGAAAAUAGUCUUAUUUUAAGGUCACUCGCCAGAAAAAAGCAGAAAAUAUUUCUGAAAAAUAUUAAAUUGAAAUAACAUGUAAGUUUUUCACCUUUGAAGCAUCAAACACUACAUAUCUUGAGAGUGAAAUUGUUUGUGAAAAAAGUCCUACAGAAUUAUGAAAAAAUUCAGAAAGAUUUCCCCGGCUUCCAUAGUGCUCCUUUUUCGUUAUUGUAUACAGAGAAUCACACAGAAUCAUAGAACUGUAGGGGUUGGAAGGGACCUCCAGAGAUCAUCAAGUCCAACUAAGAUGCCACUGUUUUUGUAAUGCUAUGGUCAGUAUUAAAUAGGACAUCCGAGGUGAUCCUGCCUUAUCAGUAUAGUAGACACUCUUGUGAGAGGAUAGUUGGCAGGUUAUGAAAGCUUUGGAGUUAACUAGAAGGAGGUCACUUCCAAGCCAUCACACAUCACCUGAUCUAAGGAAAAAUUCUAGGGAGAAAAAAAAAACCCCAAAACUCAACAUCAUAUAGUGGAGAUAGUAUGGUAAUAAAUAUACACACUUUAUCAUUUGCAGCUAUACUGAUACAUGAAACAAGCUGCACUGGAAAUGAUGGAGUGGUGCUAUGGUUCUUUUUUUCCUUUUAAUUUUGUCCCUUAAUAUGGAAAAAAGCAUACAUAUCUGCAACAGAAUUAAUCUGGCUUAUAGAUAUAAUACUUAAAAUGAUCUGUCACAAUAGCAGAUUUUAAAUGCCCUACAUUGGACAUUUUCAGCCCUUGUAUUGUCAGAUACUUAAAUAUUUACCAGAAAAAAAGAAACACAAAAUCAAAGCCUGCUGCAACCAGGCUUGCUCUUCUCUUUUGUCUUUCACCUUGAGAAGAAUCCACAGACUUGAGGGCUUGGAGCCAGAAGUUGAAAAUCACAUUUCUGUGCUAGGAAUAUGCUGGAAAUUGUUACCUGUGCAAUAAAUUGUCUGGAUUUGAACCCUUCAGUGGGAGUGGCUAAUAAGUUUAAAUAUAGCUUUGCCUAAUGUUACUGCGAUGGCUUGGGAACAGAUUUGAGCUGCAUGAGUGGAGCAGAUGUUUGUCCAAAGAAUUUUUUAUGCUUCAAGUGUAUUCAGUUUUUGGAGUUCUGUACAACAUAGUAUGUAAAUAAAUACCAAUAAAUACCUCACUGAUCCAUUAUACUACCUACAUUCUGGGAAUUGCAUUAGGCAUAUUCAAGUCUGUGAUUUUGUACAUAAUUUACUGUUGGAUAAAUAAUAAAAUAUGAACACCUUUCAGAGAUCUCCCUAGCUGUGGAAUCUGCAGUGUUCCAAUGAAGCAUCACUUCUGACAGAAGACGUUUGAAGCAGAAGGAAGUAGGGUCACACAGAUCUGCUCUGUGGGAGCUGUGCCCUCUGCUGCCUGCUUGGGCACAGUGAAGAAAUAGCAGUCAGAAGUGUGUAUACCUGUAUACCUUUGAUCUGAAACAUGGGGCAAUUCAUUGACAUCUUUUAAAAUAGUUGUUUUUAGAGGGUGAGGUUUUUUUCUGAAAACAAUUUCUGACACAAGAAUGUUUGUAGGAGUGCUAAUGAAAGUGUUGAUUUAUGUUUUACUGUAAGCUGUAUUGGCAA